This 480-nucleotide long non-coding RNA is filed under the name Salmo salar (Atlantic salmon). RNAcentral's name for it is "lncRNA (ENSSSAG00000100831.1, ENSSSAG00075031601.1)". The record is from RNAcentral. Lineage: Eukaryota; Metazoa; Chordata; Actinopteri; Salmoniformes; Salmonidae.
GUGCAUUCUGACGAAUAACAGCAAAGCUGCAGCCUCAGGUGGAUCAGGACAAGAUUCAGCCUCCUGAACAGCUUUCACAAGCGCUGUAGAGGCUGCUCUGCAGGGGAGGCGCUCCCUUCUUUGAAUGUGUGGGGUUACAAGUGCCUUUCCCAGCUGCUCCAGGAACACCCUCCUCUUGUGGAUGAUGACCAUGGGCCAGCGGGCAGUCAUCCUCCUGCAACCUGGUGCUCAGGAGGACCACAUUCUUGUUCUUCAAUGGGAGGACAACGACCCAACACACCUCCAGGCUGUGUAAGGGCUAUUUUACCAAGAAGGAGAGUGCUGUAUCAGAUGACCUGGCCUCCACAAUCCCCCCCUCAAGAAAAUGUAAUAGUUUGAGAUGAGUCGGAACACAGAGUGAAGGAAAAGCAGCCAACAAGUGCUCAGCAUAUGUGGGAACUCCUUCAAAACUGUUGGAAAAGUAUUCCUCAUGAAGCUGGU